Molecule: ribosomal RNA, 2904 nt
Filed under: Klebsiella pneumoniae
Lineage: Bacteria; Pseudomonadati; Pseudomonadota; Gammaproteobacteria; Enterobacterales; Enterobacteriaceae
Description: 23S ribosomal RNA
Rfam family: Bacterial large subunit ribosomal RNA
Source: RNAcentral
GGGUUGUGAGGUUAAGCGACUAAGCGUACACGGUGGAUGCCCCGCAGUCAGAGGCGAUGAAGGACGUGCUAAUCUGCGAAAAGCGUCGGUAAGGUGAUAUGAACCGUUAUAACCGGCGAUGUCCGAAUGGGGAAACCCAGUGCAAUUCGUUGCACUAUCGUUAACUGAAUACAUAGGUUAACGAGGCGAACCGGGGGAACUGAAACAUCUAAGUACCCCGAGGAAAAGAAAUCAACCGAGAUUCCCCAGUAGCGGCGAGCGAACGGGGAGCAGCCCAGAGUCUGAAUCAGCUUGUGUGUUAGUGGAACGGUCUGGAAAGUCCGACGGUACAGGGUGAUAGUCCCGUACACCAAAAUGCACAGGCUGUGAACUCGAAGAGUAGGGCGGGACACGUGGUAUCCUGUCUGAAUAUGGGGACCAUCCUCCAAGGCUAAAUACUCCUGACUGACCGAUAGUGAACCAGUACCGUGAGGGAAAGGCGAAAAGAACCCCGGCGAGGGGAGUGAAAAGAACCUGAAACCGUGUACGUACAAGCAGUGGGAGCACCUUCGGGUGUGACUGCGUACCUUUGUAUAAUGGGUCAGCGACUUAUAUUCUGUAGCAAGGUUAACCGUAUAGGGAGCCGCAGGAAACCGAGUCUUAACUGGGCGUUAAGUUGCAGGGUAUAGACCCGAAACCCGGUGAUCUAGCCAUGGGCAGGUUGAAGGUUGGGUAACACUAACUGGAGGACCGAACCGACUAAUGUUGAAAAAUUAGCGGAUGACUUGUGGCUGGGGGUGAAAGGCCAAUCAAACCGGGAGAUAGCUGGUUCUCCCCGAAAGCUAUUUAGGUAGCGCCUCGUGAACUCAUCUUCGGGGGUAGAGCACUGUUUCGGCUAGGGGGUCAUCCCGACUUACCAACCCGAUGCAAACUACGAAUACCGAAGAAUGUUAUCACGGGAGACACACGGCGGGUGCUAACGUCCGUCGUGAAGAGGGAAACAACCCAGACCGCCAGCUAAGGUCCCAAAGUCAUGGUUAAGUGGGAAACGAUGUGGGAAGGCACAGACAGCCAGGAUGUUGGCUUAGAAGCAGCCAUCAUUUAAAGAAAGCGUAAUAGCUCACUGGUCGAGUCGGCCUGCGCGGAAGAUGUAACGGGGCUAAACCAUGCACCGAAGCUGCGGCAGCGACACUAUGUGUUGUUGGGUAGGGGAGCGUUCUGUAAGCCUGCGAAGGUGUGCUGUGAGGCAUGCUGGAGGUAUCAGAAGUGCGAAUGCUGACAUAAGUAACGAUAAAGCGGGUGAAAAGCCCGCUCGCCGGAAGACCAAGGGUUCCUGUCCAACGUUAAUCGGGGCAGGGUGAGUCGACCCCUAAGGCGAGGCCGAAAGGCGUAGUCGAUGGGAAACAGGUUAAUAUUCCUGUACUUGGUGUUACUGCGAAGGGGACGGAGAAGGCUAUGUUAGCCGGGCGACGGUUGUCCCGGUUUAAGCAUGUAGGCUGGUUGUCCAGGCAAAUCCGGAUAAUCAAGGCUGAGGUGUGAUGACGAGGCACUACGGUGCUGAAGUAACAAAUGCCCUGCUUCCAGGAAAAGCCUCUAAGCAUCAGGUAACAUCAAAUCGUACCCCAAACCGACACAGGUGGUCAGGUAGAGAAUACCAAGGCGCUUGAGAGAACUCGGGUGAAGGAACUAGGCAAAAUGGUGCCGUAACUUCGGGAGAAGGCACGCUGGUGUGUAGGUGAAGCCCCUGCGGGUGGAGCUGAGACCAGUCGAAGAUACCAGCUGGCUGCAACUGUUUAUUAAAAACACAGCACUGUGCAAACACGAAAGUGGACGUAUACGGUGUGACGCCUGCCCGGUGCCGGAAGGUUAAUUGAUGGGGUUAUCCGUAAGGAGAAGCUCUUGAUCGAAGCCCCGGUAAACGGCGGCCGUAACUAUAACGGUCCUAAGGUAGCGAAAUUCCUUGUCGGGUAAGUUCCGACCUGCACGAAUGGCGUAAUGAUGGCCAGGCUGUCUCCACCCGAGACUCAGUGAAAUUGAACUCGCUGUGAAGAUGCAGUGUACCCGCGGCAAGACGGAAAGACCCCGUGAACCUUUACUAUAGCUUGACACUGAACAUUGAGCCUUGAUGUGUAGGAUAGGUGGGAGGCUUUGAAGCGUGGACGCCAGUCUGCGUGGAGCCAACCUUGAAAUACCACCCUUUAAUGUUUGAUGUUCUAACGUUGGCCCCUUACCGGGGUUGCGGACAGUGUCUGGUGGGUAGUUUGACUGGGGCGGUCUCCUCCCAAAGCGUAACGGAGGAGCACGAAGGUUAGCUAAUCUGGUCGGACAUCAGGAGGUUAGUGCAAUGGCAUAAGCUAGCUUGACUGCGAGCGUGACGGCGCGAGCAGGUGCGAAAGCAGGUCAUAGUGAUCCGGUGGUUCUGAAUGGAAGGGCCAUCGCUCAACGGAUAAAAGGUACCCGGGGAUAACAGGCUGAUACCGCCCAAGAGUUCAUAUCGACGGCGGUGUUUGGCACCUCGAUGUCGGCUCAUCACAUCCCGGGAAGUAGGUCCCAAGGGUAUGGCUGUUCGCCAUUUAAAGUGGUACGCGAGCUGGGUUUAGAACGUCGUGAGACAGUUCGGUCCCUAUCUGCCGUGGGCGCUGGAGAAUUGAGGGGCUGCUCCUAGUACGAGAGGACCGGAGUGGACGCAUCACUGGUGUUCGGGUUGUCAUGCCAAUGGCACUGCCCGGUAGCUAAAUGCGGAAGAGAUAAGUGCUGAAAGCAUCUAAGCACGAAACUUGCCCCGAGAUGAGUUCUCCUGAGACUUUAAGUCUCCUGAAGGAACGUUGAAGACGACGACGUUGAUAGGCCGGGUGUGUAAGCGCAGCGAUGCGUUGAGCUAACCGGUACUAAUGAACCGUGAGGCUUAACCUUACAACGCCGAAG